UCCUUGGUGGCCCAGUGGUUAAGACUUGGCACUUUCACUGCCAAGGACACAGGUUCAAUCCCUGGUCAGGGAA
Molecule: non-coding RNA, 73 nt
Organism: Bubalus bubalis (water buffalo)
Lineage: Eukaryota; Metazoa; Chordata; Mammalia; Artiodactyla; Bovidae
Source: the annotation of a RefSeq genome assembly